UUUCCUAUGAUCCACUCUCCUGUGCACUGUGCUACUCGAGAGCUUGGAGACUGAAUUCACAUGAUACUGCUGCCCAGAGCUUUUUCUUUUCCUCUGGCAUGCACCAAGCUGACACAUGAGCCAAAGUGAUAAGGGCACUAUUUUCCAAGAACAUCCUGCACCUAAUCAAUAGUUUGCUGUUCACGACUCCUCCAGCACCGGCUUGGUCUCUCUGGUAUUCUGCCUGCAACAUGCAGUUUAAUCUCCUCAAAAGAUGUGAGUGCCUGAAAAUCUUUAGUUUUUCUAAAGCCUUUGGACUUAAUGUAAGAUACCAUCAUGAAAUUUAAUGGCCU
RNAcentral lists this long non-coding RNA (332 nucleotides) under Ficedula albicollis (Collared flycatcher). RNAcentral's name for it is "lncRNA (ENSFALG00000020525.2)". The record is from RNAcentral. Lineage: Eukaryota; Metazoa; Chordata; Aves; Passeriformes; Muscicapidae.